This 239-nucleotide unclassified non-coding RNA is filed under the name uncultured fungus. RNAcentral's name for it is "sequence contains ITS1, 5.8S rRNA gene". Lineage: Eukaryota; Fungi. The record is from RNAcentral.
AUGAAGCAUUAGAGGGGCUGUCGCUGCCUUGAAAGAGGAUGUGCACGCCUUUCAAAAUCUUCUAUUUACCACCUGUGCACUCUUGCGGAGAUUGUGAUAACUCUCACAUGAAAAUUGUGGAUGGUAGGCUUGCUAAGUGCUUGCUUGCGAUUGGUUUCGCAGUCUCUUGCUUUUUACACACGCAUUAAAAUUUUGAAUGUUGAUUUACGGAUUGUAACGAUCUGUAAUAAUUGAAAAUA